UAGAAGACCAAGGGCUUAAGCGCCGAUGCUAUAGGAGAGAGGAAAAGUAGGGGCCUCAAAGUUCUCCAUCUCAUGUAGCCAUGGGAAGCCGACAACCACUCAUUAAUGCUGGUGCUACAAUUUCCAAGCAACCUUGCUAAGGAACUCUUCCAUAUGCAUCGGCAAUCCACUCAGCAGAGGACUACUGCAACAUCCAAGGGACAUUAAACUACAUACCAUAUAGAGAAAGCGAGCUUUCUUAGCAUAUCUUCAAC
Molecule: unclassified non-coding RNA, 254 nt
Filed under: Hevea brasiliensis (rubber tree)
Lineage: Eukaryota; Viridiplantae; Streptophyta; Magnoliopsida; Malpighiales; Euphorbiaceae
Source: RNAcentral